Molecule: long non-coding RNA, 1089 nt
Organism: Astatotilapia calliptera (eastern happy)
Lineage: Eukaryota; Metazoa; Chordata; Actinopteri; Cichliformes; Cichlidae
Source: Ensembl
CACCACUGUGAGAGCCAUCACCCUCUUUAGCCUGACGCCAUAAGCCAUAAUAAUAAUAAUGGAUUGGAUUUUAUAUAGCGCUUUUCAAGGCACCCAAAGCGCUUUACAAUACCACUAUUCAUUCACUCUCACUUCAUACACUGGUGGAGGCAAGCUACAGCUGUAGCCACAGCUUCCCUGGGACAGACUGACAGAAACGAGGCUGCCAUAUCGCGCCAUCGGCCCCUCUGGCCAACACCAGUAGGCGGUAGGGUGAAGUGUCUUGCCCAAGGACACAACGACCAAGACAGACAGAGCUGGGGAUCGAACCGGCAACCUUCCGGUUACAAGAUGAGCUUAAUUAGAAUAUUGCAUUUUAUAUUUACCCAGAUUAUCUUUGUAAUAUCAAACAUUUAAGCAUUACAAAUACGGCACAGCUUCUGUAUCACGUGGUAUAAGGCUCCGCCCUUGUCAUUUGUUGAGCAGGAGGAGUGAGCGCUUGUUUUCAUGCAGAUUAAGUCCCGGAUCAAAAUGCGGUACAAUCGUCGUCUUUUUUUUUUUUUUUUUUAAAUCGUUGUCAUUUGGAAAUGAGAUCGCACAUAAGUAUGAAUCGAGAUCGCGAUUUUCUAACGAUUAAUCGUGCAGCCCUACUACAGUAUAUUAAUAAAGUAGGUUCUGACAAAAACAGAGCCACAAAGUGGUCAUUUAAAGCGGUCAUUUAAAGCAUAUUGCCAGCUUAUUUCACUUCAGUGCUCUUUUUCCUCCAUUUUUCCUCACAUGUUAAAAUAUUUUUCCUUUAAACCAACUUCCAAACUGGCAAAAUGAAGCCAUUGUAGAAGUGCCAAGAACUAGAGUUAAACACUACAUGAAUAGACCUGUUAAAAUACCCAGGUAAACACAAGAUUUUAAAAAAAUAAUAAUAAUUUUUUAUAACAAACUGGUACAUUGCCUUCCCCUUCAUAACAACUGUACUGUGUUUGUUCUUAAUAACUUCUGCAUAUGGAUUAUGUUAAUUCUCAUAGCUAGGAGUGUAGCAGCCUUAACUGACAGCUGUGCUAUCACACUGGUUUCCAUACACUAUUGCAGACUAAAAUUUGAGUAUUUUAUUAG